AUGACUAAGCUUGCGCUCCUCGUCCGAGGAACUGCACUACUGAUUUGUCUAUUGAUCUUCCAACCAUCAUCCACUUCCCAUGGCCAAGCGAGUGGGUCUGGAGCCUGCAUCAGCAGCGAGCGAGAUGCGCUUCUGUCCUUCAAGGCAAGCCUCAUGGACCCUGCCGGCCAUCUCUCGUCAUGGCAGGGUGAGGAUUGUUGCCAGUGGAAGGGAGUCCGGUGCAGCAACAGAACGGGCUAUCUCAUCAAGCUCAACCUCCGCAACACCGACAUGUACGACAGGUACGACAUGUACGCCAUGUACGACAUGGGCUACAACAGCUACGACUACAACUACUACAUGGGCGACUACAGCUACCCGAGCAGGAGCAGUUCAUUGACCUUGUUAGCAGGCGAGAUGAGCUCUUCUUUGGCUACUUUACAACACCUGAGGUAUCUUGAUCUGAGCUGCAAUGACUUCAACGGCACAAGCAUCCCUGUCUUCUUGUCUUCUCUCAAGAACCUAAGGUAUCUCAACCUCUCGUCGGCAGGAUUCGGUGGGAGAAUACCUUCCCAACUUGGCAAUCUCUCAAAGUUGCAAUAUCUUGAUCUCUGUGGGAAUUAUGACUAUUAUGAUGGGAAUUGGUCUUACAUAGUGGAUCUUGCAUGGUUGCCACGUCUCUCUUUGUUGAGACAUCUUGACAUGAGCCGUGUGGACCUUAGUUCUGCGAGGGAUUGGUUUCAGAGGGUUAAUAUGCUUCCUUCUCUUAAAGUGCUUCGUUUGUCCGACUGUGGUCUCAAUGGUAACGUGUCUGCUAGUAUAUCAAUUUCCAACCUCACACAUCUUGAGGUCCUUGACAUGUCUCAUAACGCCUUCACAAUACCCCAAUUUGGCAAUCUCUCAAAGUUGCAAUAUCUUGAUGUGAGUUGGCAUUUAUAUCCUGAUAUGGAUCUUGCAUGGUUUCCACGUCUCUCUUUGUUGAGACAUCUUGACAUGAGUGGUGUGGAUCUUUAUUCUGCGGGGGAUUGGUUUCAGAGGGUUAACAUGCUUCCUUCUCUUAAAGUGCUUCGCUUGUCCGGGUGUGGACUCAAUAGUACCAUGUCUGCUAGUGUAUCACUUUCCAACCUCACACAUCUUGAGGUCCUUGAUAUGUCCAACAACUUUGAUACUUCACUCAAGCAUGCGUGGUUUUGGAAUCUCACAGGCCUUAAGGAGCUUCACCUAGGAUAUUCCGGCUUGGAAGGGUCCAUUCCUAGUGAUUUGGCAAACAUGACGGCCCUUCAAGUCAUAGAUUUAAGUGGGAAUCAGCUCGUGGGUUUGAUACCAGAAAAAUUGGGAAAUUUGUGCAAUUUGACCAGAAUGCGGUUCAGUGGUAACAACAUAGGUUCGAGCAUAGGGGAGUUCAUGAGGCGAUUACCAAAGUGCUCAUGGAAUACAUUGCAAGAAUUUUCGGUGCAGGAUGCAAAUAUGAUCGGGAAUCUUCCCAGUUGGAUUGGUAACAUGACCAAUCUCAGUGUUCUUCAUGCAUCUGAAAACAUGUUGAGUGGCCCUCUACCUGUAGGAGUUGGAGCACUGAGUAAUUUGAAAAGUCUGAUCCUCGGGAACAAUAACUUCAGCGGUGUGCUCUUGAAAGAACAAUUUGCAAAUUUAGGGAAAUUAGAGCUUUUGGACCUCAGCCACAAUAACUUCAGCGGUGUGCUAUUGAAAGAACAUUUUGCAAGUUUAGGCGCCUUAAAGAUUUUGGACCUUAGCUGCAAUAACUUCAGUGGUGUGCUCUCCAAUGAACAAUUUGCAAGUUUGGGCAACUUAAAGAUUUUGGACCUCAGCAGUAAUAACUUUAGUGAUUUUCUCUUGAAAGAACAGUCAGCAAGUUUAGAUAAUUUAAAGCAUUUGGACCUCAGCCAUAAUAAAUUAAAUAGUGUGCUCGUGGGGGAACAUUUUACAGGCCUAUUGAAUUUAAAGUAUCUGGACUUUUCGUACAACUCUGUGAGAUUAGCUAUCAACCAAAAAUGGGUUCCUGCAUUUAGGUUGAAGUACGCAAUAUUCCGGUCAUGUCAAUUGGGCCCUAGAUUUCCUGAGUGGCUUAAAUGGCAAUCUGACAUUGAUGUCCUUGUUCUCAGUAAUGCAAAUCUUGAUGAUGUUAUUCCUGAUUGGUUUUGGGUUACAUUUUCUCGAGCUUCCUUCUUGCAAGUAUCAGGAAACAAAUUGCAUGGGUCAAUACCAUCAGAUCUACAACACAUGUCAGCUGAUCAUAUAUAUCUCGGAUCCAAUAUGUUUACAGGUCAAGUCCCACAGUUGCCUAUAAAUAUAGUACGACUGAACCUAUCUUCAAACACUUUAUCUGGUUCAUUGCCAUCAGAGUUAAAUGCUCCACUACUCGAAGAGUUGUUGCUUGCAAACAAUCAAUUCAUAGGCACCAUCCCGUCGUCUAUAUGCCAAUUGACUAAACUGAAAAGGUUGGACCUAUCAGGAAACCAGUUAACAGGAGAUAUUAUGCAGUGCCAAAAGGAACUUGUUCCAAACUCUACAGAUCAAUUUGGCUCUGACAUGCUGAGCUUAGCCUUGAAUAACAAUGAUCUCACUGGUGAAUUCCCUAAAUUUCUUCAAAGGUCAUCAGGAUUGAUGUUCCUUGAUCUUUCUUACAAUAGGUUUGUUGGAGGAUUGCCAGAAUGGUUACCAGAAAAAGUGCCACACUUGAAAAUAUUAAGAGUGAGAUCAAAUAUGUUCAAUGGUCAUAUUCCUAAGAGUCUCACUUCCCUUCACGACCUUCAUUAUUUGGACAUAGCACACAACAAGAUAACAGGAAGCAUACCAUGGUCUUUGUCAAACCUGAAGGCAAUGAUGACAGUGGUGUCACAUGACACCGGAGAUUACAUAUAUGAAGAGAGCAUCCCAGUAAUCACAAAGGACCAAAAGCGUGACUACACCUUUGCAAUUUACCAGCUACUGGUAGUUCUUGAUUUGUCAAGUAAUAGUUUGGCAGGACAGAUUCCAGAGGAGAUACAUUUACUCAUUGGGCUUACCAAUCUGAACUUGUCAAACAACCACCUCACAGGAGCAAUCCCAAACAAAAUUGGUGAUUUAAGGCAGUUGGACUCACUCGACCUAUCCUUCAAUGAGUUUUCUGGUUCAAUACCAUCAAGUUUGUCAGCUUUAACUUAUUUGAGCCACUUGAACUUGUCAUACAACAAUCUGUCCGGUGCAAUACCAUCCGGCCAACAGCUACAAGCUCUUGAUAACCAGAUGUAUAUCUACAUCGGUAACCCUGGUCUUUGUGGAGAUCCUGUUGGCAGGAGCUGCUCAACACAUGAUGCAGAGCAAAGUGGCCUUGAAGAUAUAGAUCAUAUGCCAUCUGUUUAUCUUGCCAUGAGCAUUGGAUUUGUGGUGGGUCUGUGGACAGUUUUCUGCACCAUGUUGAUGAAGAGGACAUGGAGGGCUGCCUUCUUCCAGUUUGUUGAUAUGAUGUACGACAUGGUUUAUGUGCAAGUGGCUGUAAGGUGGGCUCACGUGAUGGAGAAAACUCAAGACGGUGCACCAUGA
Molecule: ribosomal RNA, 3519 nt
Filed under: Triticum aestivum (bread wheat)
Lineage: Eukaryota; Viridiplantae; Streptophyta; Magnoliopsida; Poales; Poaceae
Description: partial small subunit ribosomal RNA
Source: RNAcentral